RNAcentral lists this ribosomal RNA (468 nucleotides) under uncultured bacterium. Its description in RNAcentral is "partial 16S ribosomal RNA". It matches the Rfam family "Bacterial small subunit ribosomal RNA", at positions 28 to 507 of the family's 1533-position model. The record is from RNAcentral.
GACGAACGCUGGCGGCGUGCUUAACACAUGCAAGUCGAACGGAAAGGCCCUGCUUUUGUGGGGUGCUCGAGUGGCGAACGGGUGAGUAGCACGUGAGUAACCUGCCCUUGACUUUGGGAUAACUUCAGGAAACUGGGGCUAAUACCGGAUAGGAGCUCCUGCUGCAUGGUGGGGGUUGGAAAGUUUCGGCGGUUGGGGAUGGACUCGCGGCUUAUCAGCUUGUUGGUGGGGUAGUGGCUUACCAAGGCUUUGACGGGUAGCCGGCCUGAGAGGGUGACCGGCCACAUUGGGACUGAGAUACGGCCCAGACUCCUACGGGAGGCAGCAGUGGGGAAGAUUGCACAAUGGGCGGAAGCCUGAUGCAGCAACGCCGCGUGCGGGAUGACGGCCUUCGGGUUGUAAACCGCUUUCGCCUGUGACGAAGCGUGAGUGACGGUAAUGGGUAAAGAAGCACCGGCUAACUACGUG